UACACUAACAUCCUCGCAAGUCCCAUCCUCUUUCCAUAACACUUCCUGGAAACACAAGCAGGGUCCUUAACAGAACAUCUGAGACAGAAUCUUCAAAGUUUAUUAAUUUUCUAUACCUACGUAGUCUUUAUUACUUCAUCCUCAUACAGUUCCCAUUCAAGCAUCUUCUUCUAUCAUCUGCACUAUCCCAAGAGUUUGUUUGAUUUCUGCAUGCCUUGCUCUUCUUUUUACUCAAAAAGACCUACUCUUCCAUUUUAUUUUCCAUCAUUUUCCCACUUUUCUUUUAAUUCAUCUCCGUUAUUUAACUCUGAAAAAAAAAAAAAACAGUUCUCGUAAAUUACUUUUGUUUAAGCCCUUCUACUUUUCCUUUCCUUAAAACAAUUCUCCGGAAUUGGUGAAGUAAUUCUAUCCCAAUUGAGCAUUUUCAAUUUCCAAGUUUAUCGGUCAACAAUCCUUUCUCUUGUGAUCCACAUUUUCAUAAAGAUAAGAACAAGGGUGGAUGUGAGGUGGGUUGAGGGUGCCUGCUGCAGGGUACUCCAAAGUGGCAAAGGAGACACCAUGGCCAUUGAGGGCAGGGAACUCCAUCAUGCUAGCUUUGUAACCUAAUACUAUAACUUUUUCCAAGUCACUUUAGGUUUUAUAUAUUUUAACGAUUCUUUUUCCCUUUGGAUAGUACCUUGGACUGUUGUAAUUAUCACCAACAUCAAAUGUGAUUUUGAAUCAGGUAAAGAAGGCAAAGGGGGGAUGGUCCUACAUUUUUCUACUUUUUGUUUAUGAUCAGAAGAAACUGCUUGCAUUGAUAAUUCUCCAGCAGAUCGCUGUUGUUUGGACAGCAAGAGAAAAGGGCAGCUCACUGAGCAUGCCACUGUCAUGGGCCCCUCUUAUUUACUCUUUCAACCACAUUCAUUCAAAGUCUA
This 917-nucleotide small RNA is filed under the name Theobroma cacao (cacao). Its description in RNAcentral is "sRNA Tc07v2_g004240". Lineage: Eukaryota; Viridiplantae; Streptophyta; Magnoliopsida; Malvales; Malvaceae. The record is from RNAcentral.